AUGAUUCUGGAGUGGAUCCACACUGGGAGGAUGAACUUGGAAGACUUCAUGUCACAGAUGAAGACUGUCAUUAAAAGGGGCAUUCCUGUGGCUACUGUCAUUGGAGGAGGUUAUUCCAGAGAUAUUGAUCGACUGGCGCGCAGGCACUCAAUAAUUCAGAGCUGCAUCAAAGGUGAGGUCACAGAAAUCAUAAUGAAAGUAAUAUGUAUUUCAUGGACCUGUGUAAAUUGAACAGGGACAUUAUUGGGUGCCUUGUACCAAUUUAAUCUAUAUAUUUAUUCAUUUAUUCUGUAUAUAUAUUUGUCAGAAAGACACAUUUUAUGCUGCUGUUUUUACAUGUUGAUGUUAUUAAGAAGCAGAUUUUGUUUUCAUAGUAUUGUUGAGCUUUCUGUCCUCUUUAUCACAAAUGUAAACACCAGAAUUGCACUUUUUAAAGGUUUAUAUGCUUUUAAUGGUUCCCAUCUCUGCAUUUAGGUUUGGAGAGAACAUGGAGUUUAACUCCAAGAUGAAAAUGGACAGCAGUUGCUAAACAAUCUAAGACUGGUGGGACCUUAUGAAUGCUCCGCAGUGCCAUAGCCAUUGUAUGCAAUAGAUUUUAUGAAUAAAAAUGCCAUAUUUAUUCA
Molecule: long non-coding RNA, 623 nt
Organism: Cyprinus carpio (common carp)
Lineage: Eukaryota; Metazoa; Chordata; Actinopteri; Cypriniformes; Cyprinidae
Source: Ensembl